CCCUUAGAUGUUCUGGGCCGCACGCGCGCUACACUGACGGAGGCAGCGAGCGUGUCCUUCGCCGGCAGGUGCGGGCAAUCUUGCGAGUCUCCGUCGUGCUGGGGAUAGAUGGUUGCAAUUGUCGAUCUUGAACGAGGAAUUCCUAGUAAGCGCGAGUCAUCAGCUCGCGCUGAUUACGUCCCUGCCCUUUGUACACACCGCCCGGCGCUACUACAGAGUGCCCGUGUCCAAGAAACGGUCGGACCUGUGCGGCCUCUCCGGGCGACCGGAGGGCCGUUACGGGGAAGACCCUUUAUUUGACGCGGGUCGAUGAAGUAAAAGUCGUAACA
RNAcentral lists this ribosomal RNA (329 nucleotides) under uncultured eukaryote. Its description in RNAcentral is "partial 18S ribosomal RNA". It matches the Rfam family "Eukaryotic small subunit ribosomal RNA", at positions 1470 to 1796 of the family's 1831-position model. The record is from RNAcentral.